CGUAGGGUGCGAGCGUUAAUCGGAAUUACUGGGCGUAAAGCGUGCGCAGGCGGUUUUUUAAGACAGGCGUGAAAUCCCCGGGCUCAACCUGGGAACUGCGCUUGUGACUGGAAGGCUAGAGUACGGCAGAGGGGGGUGGAAUUCCACGUGUAGCAGUGAAAUGCGUAGAGAUGUGGAGGAACACCAAUGGCGAAGGCAGCCCCCUGGGUCGAUACUGACGCUCAUGCACGAAAGCGUGGGUAGCAAACAGGAUUAGAUACCCUGGUAGUCCACGCCCUAAACGAUGUCAACUAGGUGUUGGAUGGGUAAAACCAUUUAGUACCGGAGCUAACGCGUGAAGUUGACCGCCUGGGGAGUACGGCCGCAAGGUUA
Molecule: ribosomal RNA, 372 nt
Filed under: uncultured organism
Description: bacterial SSU rRNA
Rfam family: Bacterial small subunit ribosomal RNA
Source: RNAcentral